UCCGUAGGUGAACCUGCGGAGGAGCAUAUCAAUAAGCGGAGGAAACUAACAUUUGAACGCUGUCUGAAGUUUGCAGUCUGAGUUUUUAGUUAAACAAUCGUUAAAACUUUCAACAACGGAUCUCUUGGUUCCGGCAUCGAUGAAGAACGCAGCGAAAUGCGAUAAUUAAUGUGAAUUGCAGAAUUCAGUGAAUCAUCGAGUCUUUGAACGCACAUUGCGCCCCCUGGUAUUCCGGGGGGCAUGCCUGUCCGAGCGUCAUUGCUGCCCUCAAGCACGGCUUGUGUGUUGGGCUUCCGUCCCUGGCAACGGGGACGGGCCCAAAAGGCAGUGGCGGCACCAUG
This 341-nucleotide ribosomal RNA is filed under the name uncultured fungus. RNAcentral's name for it is "partial 18S ribosomal RNA". The stretch from base 105 to 258 matches the Rfam family "5.8S ribosomal RNA". The record is from RNAcentral. Lineage: Eukaryota; Fungi.